ACUACACCUAUCCGCCAGGGAACUACAAGCAUUAGCUUCAAACCCAAAGGACUUGGCGGUGCUUUAGACCCACCUAGAGGAGCCUGUCCUAGAACCGAUAACCCUCGUUCAACCUCACCACUUCUAGCCCAAUCCGCCUAUAUACCACCGUCGUCAGCUUACCCCGUGAGGGAUUAACAGUAAGCUAAACUGGCACAGCCCAAAACGUCAGGUCGAGGUGUAGCGCAUGAAGUGUGCAAGAGAUGGGCUACAUUUUCUGACGCAGAAAACCACGAAAGGAGACAUGAAAAACUUCCGAAGGAGGAUUUAGCAGUAAAUGGGGAAUAGAGCGCCCCACUGAAACUGGCCCUUAAGCGCGUACACACCGCC
Molecule: ribosomal RNA, 369 nt
Filed under: Hygophum benoiti (Benoit's lanternfish)
Lineage: Eukaryota; Metazoa; Chordata; Actinopteri; Myctophiformes; Myctophidae
Description: partial small subunit ribosomal RNA
Rfam family: Bacterial small subunit ribosomal RNA
Source: RNAcentral